UCUGCUGGCUUUCAUGUGUUUGUUUGCCCACAGCCUCCCCCAUCAGACCGAGGGGCCCUCAAAGGCAGCCCGUGCCUUGUGUAUCUCCAUGGACUGAGCGCCGUGGAGACCAGCGGCUGCCUCCUGGAUCCUCCCCACGGUCCGUGACGAUCGGGCCCGCCUAUCUGUGAAUCCCUGGAGAUUUAGAUGGAAGGAAAAACAAACACAGAGAAAUGAAGUACCCAGCAUGGCCCCUGACGUCAGAGCUGGGGUGGUUUGCAUGGGCGAUGUUCCAGCCUUCUGGUCCCCCGUCCUGACCGUUCGAGGCC
Molecule: long non-coding RNA, 308 nt
Filed under: Equus asinus (donkey)
Lineage: Eukaryota; Metazoa; Chordata; Mammalia; Perissodactyla; Equidae
Description: lncRNA (ENSEASG00005038516.1)
Source: RNAcentral